GUGCCAGCCGCGCGGUAAUACGGAGGUCCCAAGGGUGCCCUGAGUGACUGGGCGUAAAGGGUCCGUAGGCGGUCUGGUAAGUCUCCCGUGAAAGCUGCCCGCUCAACGGGCAGAGGUCGGGAGAUACUGCUGGACUCGGGACCAGCAGGGGGGACCGGAAUUCCCGGUGUAGCGGUGAAAUGCGUAGAUAUCGGGAGGAACGCCGAUGCCGAAGGGGGGUCCCUAGGCUGGCUCCGACGCUGAGGGACGAAAGCUGGGGGAGCGAACCGGAUUAGAGACCCGGGUAGUCCCAGCCGUCAACGAUGGGUGCUAGGGAGCGGGGUAAAUCCUCGCGCCCGAAGCUAACGCGUUAAGCACCCCGCCUGGGGAGUACGGCCGCAAGGCCGAAACUCAAACGAAUCGACGGGGACCCGAACAAGCCGCGGUGCAUUUGGUUUAAUUCGAUGCAGCGCGAAGAACCUUACCCGGGCUUGACAUGCUAGCGUAAGCCUGCCCGAAAGGGUAAGGUGGGCUGGGCGAUGAGUCCAGCCAGCUAGCACAGGUGCUACAUGGCUGUCGUCAGCUCGUGCCGUGAGGCGUCGGGUUAAGUCCCAGAACGAGUGCAACCCCUGCCCGCUGUUGCCAUUCCCCGAAAGGGGAGGCACUCUGCGGGGACUGCCGGCGAAGAGUCGGAGGAAGGAGGGGACGACGUCAAGCCCGCAUGGCCCUUAUGCCCGGGGCUACACAAGUGCAACAAUGGCCGGGACAAAGGGACGCGAGGCCAUGAGGCUGAGCAAAUCCCAAAAACCCGGUCUCAGUUCGGAUCGGGGUCUGCAACCCGACCCCGUGAAGCCGGAGUGGCUAGUAAUCGCGGAUCAGCAACGCCGCGGUGAAUACGUUCCCGGGUCCUGUACACACCGCCCGUCACGCCAUGGAAGUCACCUGCACAGGAAAUCCCUAAAAGGGACGAAUGUGUGGGUGGCGACUGGGGCGAAGUCGUAACAAGGUAACC
Molecule: ribosomal RNA, 991 nt
Filed under: uncultured bacterium
Lineage: Bacteria
Description: bacterial SSU rRNA
Rfam family: Bacterial small subunit ribosomal RNA
Source: RNAcentral